UGGGGAAUUUUGGACAAUGGGGGCAACCCUGAUCCAGCCAUGCCGCGUGAGUGAAGAAGGCCUUCGGGUUGUAAAGCUCUUUCGGCCGGGAGGAAAUCGCAUCAGUUAAUACCUGGUGUGGAUGACAGUACCGGAAUAAGAAGCACCGGCUAACUACGUGCCAGCAGCCGCGGUAAUACGUAGGGUGCGAGCGUUAAUCGGAAUUACUGGGCGUAAAGCGUGCGCAGGCGGUUUUUUAAGACAGGCGUGAAAUCCCCGGGCUCAACCUGGGAACUGCGCUUGUGACUGGAAGGCUAGAGUAUGGCAGAGGGGGGUGGAAUUCCACGUGUAGCAGUGAAAUGCGUAGAGAUGUGGAGGAACACCGAUGGCGAAGGCAGCCCCCUGGGCCAAUACUGACGCUCAUGCACGAAAGCGUGGGGAGCAAACA
Molecule: ribosomal RNA, 427 nt
Filed under: Microvirga ossetica
Lineage: Bacteria; Pseudomonadati; Pseudomonadota; Alphaproteobacteria; Hyphomicrobiales; Methylobacteriaceae
Also listed under: 1 other name
Description: partial 16S ribosomal RNA
Rfam family: Bacterial small subunit ribosomal RNA
Source: RNAcentral